This 468-nucleotide ribosomal RNA is filed under the name uncultured bacterium. RNAcentral's name for it is "partial 16S ribosomal RNA". It matches the Rfam family "Bacterial small subunit ribosomal RNA", at positions 28 to 507 of the family's 1533-position model. The record is from RNAcentral.
GACGAACGCUGGCGGCGUGCUUAAUACAUGCAAGUCGAACGGACAGGCCCUGCUCUUGUGGGGUGCUCGAGUGGCGAACGGGUGAGUAACACGCGAGUAAAAUGCCCUUGUCUUUCGGAUAACUCUAGGAAACUGGGGCUCAUAUCGGAUAGGAGCUCUUGCUGCACGGUGGGGGAUGGAAAGAUUCGGCGGUUGGGGAUGGAAUCGCGGCUUAUCCGCUUGUUGGUCGGGUUGUGGCUUACCAAGGCUUUGACGGCUAGCCGGCCUGAGAGGUUGACCGGCCACAUGGGUACUGAGAUACGGCCCAGACGCCUACGUGAGGCAGCAGGGGAGAAUAUUGCACAAUGGGCGGAAGCCUGAGGCAGCGACGCCGCGUGCGGGAUGACGUCCUUCGAGUUGUAAACCACUUUCUCCUGUGACGAAGCGGGAUUGACGGUAAUGGGUAAGGAAGCACCGGCUAACUACGUG